AUCGGAUUAUUCAACAUUGAUCAGCAACACUCGAAUUUUAAGCGUAGCAAAAUGUAUUCGACUCCUAUCCUUAUUGAUAACAGUUCUGUCUAGAUACUCCGACUGCCGCCUCGAAAAAAAAGCUUUUAGACUGCGUACCCGUCCACUUAUUUGUUAAAUAUAAAUCAUUUAUAUUUCAAAGAUUUUAUACUUUUCUAACUACCAACAAGACUUUCUCAACUCACAACUAGACUUUCGUAACUCGCAACUCGACUUUUAUGACACGGAACUCGACUUUUGUAACUCUCAGCUCGACUUACUUUAUUUUUCAACUGGAUAUCAUUUUUUUAGAAACCAUCAAAUUGUGCCUGUCAAUCUAUUUCUAUACACUAGUCAACCUUCCCUACCUUAUCUGAAGAAAAACACAGGUUUAAUUAUAUAUUUUUUUUAAUCAUGUUUGGCCGUGAUACAAUUUUAACAAAUUUAUUUGGUGAGACAUGUUUCUAUAAAUUACAUAUGUGACGGACUAUUGAUAAGGGGGACUCCAAAAGGUGUGACAAAUAAGCCGCUUAAUUUGAACAUGUUGAAAGUUUCAUGUUUUACUUUUAAAAUAUCUCUACCUCUGUCCAAUGCCAACCGACCCAACCCUUCUGUUUCUUUAUAACAUUUCAUCGUAUAAGUGCAAAAUGUACUAUACAAAUAUCUCAACAUGGUUUACAAUUAUUGUGAUA
Molecule: long non-coding RNA, 710 nt
Filed under: Mytilus galloprovincialis (Mediterranean mussel)
Lineage: Eukaryota; Metazoa; Mollusca; Bivalvia; Mytilida; Mytilidae
Source: RNAcentral